Molecule: ribosomal RNA, 440 nt
Filed under: uncultured bacterium
Lineage: Bacteria
Description: partial 16S ribosomal RNA
Rfam family: Bacterial small subunit ribosomal RNA
Source: RNAcentral
CCUACGGGGUGCAGCAGUGGGGGAUAUUGCACAAUGGGGGGAACCCUGAUGCAGCGACGCCGCGUGUGGGAAGACGGUCCUCUGGAUUGUAAACCACUGUCCCCAGGGACGAAAAUGACGUUACCUGGGGAGUCAGCUCCGGCUAACUACGUGCCAGCAGCCGCGGUAAUACGUAGGGAGCGAGCGUUGUCCGGAAUUACUGGGUGUAAAGGGAGCGUAGGCGGGGAUGCAAGUUGGGUGUCAAAACUACCGGCUCAACUGGUAGUCGCACUCAAAACUGCAGCUCUUGAGUGAAGUAGAGGAAGGCGGAAUGCCUAGUGUAGCGGUGAAAUGCGUAGAUAUUAGGAGGAACACCAGUGGCGAAGGCGGCCUGCUGGGCUUUUACUGACGCUGAGGCUCGAAAGUGUGGGGAGCAAACAGGAUUAGAUACCCCAGUAGUC